This 71-nucleotide transfer RNA is filed under the name Dialister micraerophilus DSM 19965. It matches the Rfam family "tRNA". From Rfam's summary of the family: Transfer RNA (tRNA) molecules are approximately 80 nucleotides in length. Their secondary structure includes four short double-helical elements and three loops (D, anti-codon, and T loops). Lineage: Bacteria; Bacillati; Bacillota; Negativicutes; Veillonellales; Veillonellaceae. The record is from Rfam by way of RNAcentral.
GCGGGUGUAGCUCAAUGGUAGAGCGCCAGCCUUCCAAGCUGGAUACGAGGGUUCGAUUCCCUUCACCCGCU